RNAcentral lists this long non-coding RNA (26502 nucleotides) under Capsicum annuum. Its description in RNAcentral is "long non-coding RNA (CANN_LNC005360)". The record is from RNAcentral. Lineage: Eukaryota; Viridiplantae; Streptophyta; Magnoliopsida; Solanales; Solanaceae.
UAUAUAUAUAUAUAUAUAUAGAUAUACAUAUAUGCAUGUAUAUGAACAUGUACAUUGAGUUGAAUUGGAUUUUGAAUUGUUAUUAAUUUAUCCUUAUCCCUGAGUUUGAUGCUAGCGCUAAACCCAUUAACCAUCUCCAGAUGUUGUAUCCCCACGUGAUGCAGGACAUAAAGACACUGCUAGUUUUCUUAUAGAGUAAUUAAGUGACUUCUGGAUCAGUCGAGAGUUGACUUAAAGUGGUGAGCUUCCAUACUAUAGAAGACCCUAUUUCAUGUUUAGUUCCCUGAGGGAAUACACUCUUCUCUAGACUUAUUUUUGGUUAUUGUCGAGUGCAUGUCCCACUUUUUAUUAGUAUUCAAUUAUUAGAAGCUUAUGGAUAUUACUGUGGACUUGGUUACUUGUUAUUGAUUAUUGGUUAUCGAUUAUCGAUUAUUAUUUAUUGACAAAUCUUAAAUAUCUUUAAGUUAUUAAUCAUGAUAUCUUAUUAUAUGCUCGAAAUUCAGUUGCUGCUAGUGAUUAGGGUCUUUUUAGCUAGGUAAAGGGGAUAGUCCAUUGUCCUUGUUGGACUUAGGAUGCCCAUCACGGCCAGGCCCUGUUUUGGGUCAUGACAAAGUUGGUAUCAGAGCCUAGGUUCAUGGUCAAUUAGUUUUCACCAAAGCUGUGUCAAGUAGAGUCUCUUUUAUAGGUGUGUAGCACGCCACACUUAUAAGGGAGAGGAUAUGAGACAUCUAAGAAUGUUUCCCUUUUUUUUUGUUCUAUUUUGGGCUAUAGAGUCUAAGGCAUUGGAUCUCCUCUAAUUCCCAUUUAUUAAUAGUGCAGAUAGAUCUGAUAUUUGUGGAAACUCUUGAGUCCCGCUUGAGGAUAAUACAUAUAGAGCUCGUCCUACUUAUGGACUCCAUACCCGGUCUAGGGAUCCAAAUCCUGAUUGCCUUCAUGGAGUUCCACCGAUUCCCUCUAGCCCUCCUCGAAUACCUGAGGGUGAUGUGUCCAAAGCUGAGUUUUGCCAGUCAAUCCAUUUACUUAACCAGUUGAUGGCCUCUCAAACUGAGCAUGUUGCUUUUGUCACUCUAUCUUCUGAGGUCACUGGAGAUAGCUAGUUUAUUAGGUUGAGUCCUCCGACUUUCACCAGUUCGAAGGUUGAGAAAUAUCCUCAAAACUUUAUUAAUAAGAUGGAAAAAAUAUUUAGGGUCAUACAUGCUUUUAACUCUGAGGGUGUUGAUUUUGCCACAUACCAAUUGAAGGAUAUGGCAUAUCAGUGUGGAAACAGAUAAGGGGAGAUGAUUUGAGCCAGCUAUAUGGGAUGACUUUUCUAGUGCUUUUCUAGAUCACUUAUUUUCUGAGGAGUUGAGAGGGGAAAAGGCUGAGGAGUUCAUGAAUUUAAAGCAAGGCAAAAUGACUGUGAAGGAGUAUGCCUUGAAGUUUACUUUGGGCUUAUCCCAUAAUUUUAUUUUGGAGUACAAAGCCGAGUUGUUGAAUAAGGAUAUGGAUAUCUCUAAGCUCUUGGUGUUUAUGUAAUAGGAUGAGGAGGAAAAGAAGAAGCAAGCUAGGAUAAGGGAAAGAUAGAGUAAGAAAAUUAGGUAUUUUGAGCAGGGUGGAGGUCAGUAAAACAAUGGUAAAGAUAGUAGGCAGUGGUCUAAAAAGAAGUAGCAAAAUUUUUGUUCCUAUUCUAUGGCUAGUGAUCCUUAUCCUAAGUCGUCUGGUGAUCGUCACUUUUAGAAUGAUAGUGAAUUUAGGGAAAAAACGCCCAGUCUUAGGCUAACGCAGCUUAGUAGACCCCAUCUUAUCCCCUUAUCAUUUCUGUAGAUAGAUUCAUCAUGGUUUUUAUGAUGAAGGAAGUAAUAAGUUCUUUAAGUGUGGUAAAUUUGGUCGCAUGCAGUGGGAUUGUCCUUCAAAGGUCACUUCUGGAGCUAAUAAGGUUUCAGUUGUUACUACUUCAAUUCCUCCACCAAAGGAUGCUACUUCUAGCUCCAGCACUGGUCAAAAUCAUCUAUAUGCUCUUACCACCCAUCAGGAAUCUAAGGUUUCUCCUAAUGUUGUCACUGGGAUGUUACAACUUUUUUCUCAUGAUGUGUAUUGCUAGCUUAAUCUGGGGUAUACUCUUUCUUAUGCGACCCCUUAUAUGGCUAUUCAUUUUAGGUUUGGUCCUGAGUGUAUACCUGAUCCCUUUAUUAUGUCUACCCCAGUGGGUGACUCUGUUAUGGCUAUAAAAGUCUAUAGGGGUUGUGUGGUAUCAAUUUGUGGUAGGGAAACAUUGGUAAAUCUGAUAGAUCUAGAUACGUUAGAUUUUGAUGUAAUCCUGGGGAUGGAUUGGCUCCAUUAGUGCUAUGCCUCUAUAAAUUGUCGGACCCGUAAGGUCCUUUUCAAAUUUCCUAGUGAGUCGGUUAUAGAAUAGGAAGAGAGUUCCCUAGCAUCUACGAGGAGGUUUAUUUCUUAUCUAAGAGCCUGAAAAUUGAUUUCCAAGAAGUGUCUUUAUCAUUUGGUCAAGGUUAAAUAUUUUAACUCUUAGGGUCCUUCAUUAUAAUCCAUUUUCAUGGUUAGUGAGUUUCCCAAAGUGUUUUCGUGAUGAUCUCUUUGGUAUCCCUCCUGAUAGGGUAAUUGAUUUUAGGAUAGACCUUCUUCCAGAUACCUACCCUAUCUCUAUUCCUUCUUACAGGAUGGCCCUGACUGAGUUGAAAGGUCUUCUUGACAAAGGUUUUAUUCAACCUAGUAUUUUCCCGUGAGGUGCUCCUAUUGUCUUUGUGAGUAAGAAGGAUGGUUCCUUUCAGAUAUGUAUGGAUUACCGCCAUUUAAAUAAGGUGACAGUGAAGAAUAGUUUCCUCUUCCCAGGAUUAAUGACAUAUUUGAUCAACUUCAGGGCUAAGAACUUCUCUAAGAUUGAUCUUUGGUCGGGAAUCAUCAGUUGAAUAUUAGGGAGGUGGAUAUCCUUAGACUUCUUUUUAAACCCAGUAAAGUCAUUUUGAAUUUCUGGCCAUGUCUUUUAGGUUAACAAAUGCCACAGCGGUAUUUAUGGAUCUUGUGAACUAGGUAUUCUGUCAGUUUCUUGACUUACUUAUCAUUGUGUUCAUUGAUGAUAUUUUGGUAUAUUCAAAGAGUGAGGAGGAUCAUACCAAUCACCUCUAUGUAGUGUUGUGAACCUUUAAAGAUCAGCGAUUGUAUGCUAAAUUUUCUAAAUGUGAGAUUUGGCUGAAUGUUGUUACUUUUCUAGGCCAUGUUGUUUCUAAUAAAGGGAUCACGGUGGAUCCACAAAAGGUUGCAGUGGUUAAGAAGUUGCCUAGGCCCAUGGCUCUAACCAAUAUUUGGGGAUUCUUGGGUUUAGUUGGGUAUUAUAGGAGGUUUAUGGAGAGUUUUUCUUCGAUUGUUUCCCCAUUGACUAGGUUGACUCAAAAGAAAGUAAAUUUGAUGUGAUUCGAUAUUUGUAAGGGUAGUUUUGAGAAGAUAAAGAAUAGGUUGACUUCGGCUCUAGUUUUGACCCUACCCGGGGGAACUGAUAGUUUCGCUGUAUAUUGCGAUGCGUCCCAUAUGGAACUUGGUUGUGUUUUGAUACAGCAUGGUAGGGUGGUGGCUAUGCUUCUAGACAACUUAAGGUGCAUGAAAAGAACUAUCUAACUCAUGAUUUGGAGUUGUUGGUUGUGGUUUUUGCUUUGAAGAUUUGGCACUAUUACUUGUAUGGAGUUCAUGUUGAUAUAUAUUCUGAUCACAAGAGUCUACAAUACGUGUUCACUUAAAAAGAGUUGAAUCUCAGGCAAAGGAUAUGGCUUGAAUUGCUCAAGGACUAUGAUAUGAGUCUUCACUAUCAUCCAGGUUAAGCUAAUAUGGUUGUUGAUUCUCUUAGAAGGUUAUCCAUAGGGAGUUUAUCUCAUGUUGAUGAGGAGAAAAGAGGCUUGGUGAAGGAUAUUCAACACUUGGCUAAACUUAUAGUUUGUAUUUUGGAUUCCAAGGAUGGUGGGGUAAUCAUUUAGGAGGUAAAGAAGUCUUCUCUCGGUACUGAGGUACAAGAGAAGUAGGUUUUGGACCUUAUCUUUAUACAGAUCAAGGACAAUGUCGGUCAGCAAAAAGUGAUGGCUUUUGAGAUUGGUGGCGAUGGUAUCUUAAGGUACCAAGAGAGGUUAUGUGUUCCUGAUAUUAAUAUGAUGAGAGAAAGAUCUUGGAUGAGGCUCGUGAGUCGCAGUAUGUGGUCCAUCCUAGUUUAACAAAAAUAUACCAUGACUUGAGGAGAUUUAUUGGUGAAAUAACAUAAAGAGAGAUAUAGCUAAUUUUGUAGCUACGUGUAUAGUUUGUUAGCAAGUAAAGGGUGAGCACUUGAGGCCUGGUGGGUUAUCUCAAAAGAUUAAAUUGCCUUUAUGGAAAUAGAAAAUGAUUAACAUGGAUUUCAUUACCAGUCUUCCGUGGUUACUUAGUCAGUUUGAUUCAAUUUUGGUCAUCAUGGAUAGGAUAACUAAGUUUGCUCACUUCUUUCUUAUGAGGAUAAUUUUUUUCUGCGGAGGAUUAUGCUAAGAUUUUAAUUUAGGAAAUCAUCAAGUUGCUUAAUGUGUUUGUCUCUAUUAUAUAUGUUGUAGUAUGCAGUUCCCGCCUCACUUUUGGUGUUCUUUUCAGAGAGGUUUGGGGACUAAGGAUUCUAAAUCUGAAGGUCCUUCCUUACAGACUAUCCCUUGGUCUGUGAAUAUCUAAGGUGUUCCCUGAUGAUCUUCCUAGUAUUCCUCCUGAUAAGGAAAUUGAUAUUUGGUACUGAUCUUCUUCCAGAAACUUGUUCUAUUUAUAUCCCUCCUAAUAGGAUGGCUCCGACUAAAUUGAAACAACUCAAGAAAUAGUUGAAAUAUCUUUUGAAAAAGGGUUUUAUCCGCCCUAGUGUGUCUACAUGGGGUACUCCAGUUCUAUUCAUGUGUAAGAAGGAUGGUUACUUUUGAAUGUGUAUUGAUUAUCGCAAACUGAAUAAGGUGACCGUGAAGAAUAAGUAUCUGCUACUGAGGAUUGAUGAUCUCUUUGAUCAACUUCAGUGUGCUAAGUACUUUUCAAAAAUUAAUCUUCAGUCUGGGUACCAUCAGUUAAAGAUUAGGGUGGUGAAUACCCUAAGACUGCUUUUUGAACUAGGCAUGGUCAUUUUGAGUUCUUGGUGAUGCCCUUUGGUUUGACUAAUGCCCCAGCAGUAUUUAUGGAUCUCAUGAAUCAGGUAUUUUAUCAGUUUUUAGAUAUAUUAAUGAUUGUAUUUAUCGAUGAUAUUUUGUUGUAUUCCAUGAGCAAUGCAAAUCAUAUUGAUCACAUCCGCCUUGUGUUGUAAACUUUGAAAGAUCAGUGGUUGUAUAUGAUAUUCUCAAAGUGUGAGUUCUGGUUAAAUAUUGUGACUUAUCAGGGCCAUAUUUUUUCUAGUGAAGAGAUCAUGGUAGAUCCACAGAAAUUUACGGUGGUUAAAAAGUGGCCUAGGUCCAGAACUCCAACCGACAUUUGGAGCUUCUUGGGUUUAGUUGAUUAUUAUAGAAGGUUUGUGGAAAGUUUCUCUUCUAUUGUUGCCCUAUUGACUAAGUUGACUCAGAAGAAGGUAAAGUUUUUAUGGUCUGAUGCUUGUGAGGGUAGUUUUGAGAAGUUUAAGAAUAAGUUAACUUCGACUCCAGUCAUGAGACUACCUGAGGGUACUGAUGAUUUUGUAGUCUAUUAUGAUGCGUCCCGGGUAGGACUAGAUUCUGUGUUGAUGCAACAUUGCGUAUGCUUCUAGAGAGCUGGAAGUUCAUAAGAAGUAUAAUUCGAUUCAUGAUUUGGAAUUGUUAGAUGUGGUAUUUGCUUUAAAGAUAUGGCUACAUUAUUUGUAUGGGGUCUAUGUAGACAUUUAUUCUGGUCAUAAAAUCCUGCAAUUUGUGUUCACUCAAAAAAAGCUAAAUCUUAGGCAAAAGAGGUAGUGUGAGUUGCUAAAGGACUAUGAAAUAAGUCUCCACUACCACUCAAGUAAAGCUAACGUGGUUGCUGAUGCUCUUAGCAGGUUGUCCAUGGGAAGCUUAUCUUAUAUGGACUAGAAGAAGAAGGAUUUAGUGAAAGAUAUUCACCACUUGGAUAAUCUAGGAGUCCUUCUCUUAGAUUCUAAGGAUGGUGGUGUAACUAUUCAAGAAGUGGUAAAUUUAUCUCUUAGAGCAGAGGCAAAGGAGAAGCAAGUGUUGGAUCCUAUCUUGAUACGAAUCAAGAAUGAUGUGGGUAGGUAGAAGAUAGUGGUUUUCGAGAUUGGUGGUGAUGGUAUCUUGAGGUACCAAGGUAGAUUAUGUGUUCUCGAUGUUGAUGGGUUACGGGAAAGAAUUUUGGCUGAAGCUUAUAAGUGGCGUUAUAUGGUUCAUCUUGGUUCAACAAAAAUGUAUCAUGAUCUCAAGGAGAUUUAUUAGUUGAAUAAUAUGAAAUAGGAUGUGGCCAAUUUUGUGGCUAAGUGCAUGAUGUGUAGCAAGUGAAGGUAGAGCACUUGAGGUCCGAUGGGUUGAGUCAAGAGAUUAAGUUGCUGGUAUGGAAAUGGGAAAUAAUUAAUAUAUAUUUUGUUACCGAUUUUUUGUGGUCUUAUCAGCAAUUUGAUUCAAUUUGGGUCAUCGUGGAGAGGAUAACUAAGUCCGUUCAUUCCUUGCCAGUGAGGAUAGAUUUUUAUGUUGAGGACUAUGCGAAGUUAUAUAUCCAAGAGAUAAUAAAGUUGCAUGGUGCACCAGUUUUUAUUAGUUUUGAUCGAGGUAUAUAGUUCUCAUCUCACUUUUAGAGGUCAUUUUAGUGAGGUUGGGGUACUAAGGUAACCCUUAGUAGUACUUUCCACCCGCAGACAGAUGGGCAAGCUAAAAGGACAAUUUAAGUCUUGGAAGAUAUUCUUCGGGCUUGUGUAUUUGAUUAUGGUGGUAGUUGGGUUGACCACUUACGUAUUAUAGAAGUUGCCUAUAAUAACAGUUAUCACUCUAGCAUUAAUACGGCUCCGUUUGAGGCCAUAUAUUGUAGGAGGUGUAGGUCUCCUAUUGGGUAGUUUGAGGUUGAUAAAAAUAAAUUAUUUAGCCCUAAUUCAGUUCCCCAAGCCAUGGACAAAGUGAAGGUGAUUAGGAUAGGCUUAAGACCGCCCAAAGUCGCCAAAAUUCCUAUGCGGACAUGACACGAAGGGAAUUGGAAUUUAAUGUUGGUGAUUGGAUGUUCUUGAAGGUUUCUCUCAGGAAGGGAGUGAUGCAGUUUGGAAGAAAGGGGAAGCUCAGUCCCUAUUAUGCCGGUCCAUACUUGGUUUUGAAGAAGGUUGGUAUUAUUGCAUAUGAAUUGAGUUGCCUUCUAGUUUAAGCUUCAUUUAUCUGGUGUUUUAUAUUUCAAUGUUGAGAAAGUGAGUGGGUGAUCCUUCGAUGGUAGUUCCUUUAGAAAAGGUGGGCAUUUUAGAUUCCUUGUCCUAUAAGGAUGUCCUGGUUGAGAUUUUGGAUUGGCAAAUCCGUCGGUAAUGGACCAAGGAUGUGGCUUCGGUAAAGGUUCUUUGGAGGAACCAAAAUCUUGAGAAAGCUACUUGGGAAGCCACGAAGCAUAGGAAGUUCAAGUAUCCAUUCUUGUCCCCCGUUUCGGAUAAACAUGCUUGAGGUAUGUGUAUUCCUUAACAUUCUUGUAUUUUGACGUUAUUAAAAGAAAUUGUAAUUUCCUUGGUAUCUUUGUUUUCUGCCUUUGUUAAAGGUAAGUGUGGUUGUGUUUGGGGUUAAAUCGUGUUAAUAAGUGCCUUGUCCUGUCAUUCGAGGACGAAUGAUCCUUAGGGGGGAGUAUGUAAUGCCCUGAGUUUUUGGUCCUUGAAAAUUUCUGAAAUUUUAUCCUCACUGCCCUAACUACAACUUACCCUACUAGUCGUAGGGAGUCUUGAUGAGUCGUUAGACCCAAUCAUAACUUAAUCAGUGUGUGUUUGAAUAAGUUCUGCUCUAAGUAAGGGUGGCUCACUAAGGGUUGUAAAGACUCAUUAUGAGUCGUUGGGUGCUAGCAAAUCAAAGGAUGUCCAGUGUAUACCCCAAGAAGGUUCUAUGUUGAUUAUGACUAGACCCUAUGAGUCGUAGAGUACUAUUACAAGUCGUAUUAGUUGAGUCAUAAGGUCAACAAAGUGUGAGUACCUUGGAGACUAUCUUGUCUAUGACUCAUCGUGACCAGUCGUAAUGAGACCUUACGAGUCAUAAGUGACCCGUAGCUCUGACAGCUAAAUUUCAGCUUUUAAUUUGAGGGUACUUUGGACAAUUUCUUUCUUAUCCAAUUAAAAACCCAUGUUCAUAAAGCACUCAAGGGGCUAUUUCUUAUUCUAAACGUAAUCAAACACUCUCAAAACUCUCUCAAGUAUCUUAAGCAAAAUACUUAAGGUUGCUAAGAAGUAGGCCAUCCAAGGGCUCAACAGUUGAAUUCUUUUCGUGAAACUUUAUAUUUCAAACAUGUCAUUACUCUUCCCUAAUUGUUAAUUUUCUAAAAUCACGAGUUUAAAGUGUUGUUUAUAUGGUAUUGAUGUUGGUUUGGAAACAUGGGUUAAGGGUUUUGAAUGUUUGUUGUUGAAUAAUGUUUCCCAUGGUUUACAAAUAACUUUUCAUGCUUUAAUUUUGGUUUUGAACUUGUAAGGUGCAUGGAUAUGGUGAAUGAACUAAGGGAUUGUGAUUUCCCCUAACUUGUGACUUUUGAAGUGGUUAUGACCUCAAUCCCAUAUUAUGAAAUUGGUUUUGAAUAUCAAAAAUAUGCACAUUGAAUUACUCUUGAAAUUAUUGCAUGAUGUGAAAGGUUAAUGAAGCAUAAUGAUUUUGAAUUAAACCUUAUGAGUUGUGUAAUUACCCAAGCUAAUGUAUAAUUGAACCAAGGGGGCUAUGAAUUCCCCAAAUAAUAAAAUUAUUUCAACAUGUUGAUGUUACUUUGUAGGUGUAGUUGGUAUGACGACACCAACAAUGUAUGCCUAAAUGAGUAUUACCAUUCAAUGAAUGGGAAGGUGUGUUAAUUAUUUUAAUUGGGCUUUAAUAAGGGUUGUGUAGUUGAGUCAUGAAAGUGGAGGUCCCAAGGGAACAACACUAGAAACUGCGAUUGCCGACGCAGGGGUCUAAAUGACCGGGUGGUUCGAAUCCUCCUUAUUAUUAUCAUAUGACUGGGAGGUUUAAGUUUCCAUAUUAUAUUACAUGAUUUGGUGUUUGUCUCACCUUGAUGUGCCGGGAGGUUUGAGUCCCCUAUAGUGCAUAUGUAUACCCUCUAGUUCGUGCAUCUACCCGCACUAGAGCCCUACUAGCUAGGGGAGAGCUCGGCCCAUGUAGCCUGUGGGUGCCUUCUUAUGUUAUGACAGUUGAGCUACACAAUCUAGUCUAAGUUUUAAAGUGCAUACUAAGCCUUGUUCCCUAUCCCGGCAUAUUACUUAUAUAUGUAUUAUGAUAUAACUCAUAUAAUAUUGAAAUGACUGGACUUGACAUUAUUUUAUCCUCUAUCCCUGAGUUACAUGCUAGUGUUUCCCCUACUAACCAUCUUUAGAUGCUAUAUCCCCACGCAAUGCAGGUACCAAAGAUACUUCUACUUUCCCUGGACAGAGUUAGGUAGAUCAGCUUGAUUUAUCGGUUUAUUGUGGUGAAGUGGUGAUCUUCCAUUCUUCGAAAGGCUUAGGCAUUUUAUCUACUUACAUUAUUAGAUUUGAGUUGAUAGUUUUCAUUUUCAUCACCAUUAUCAUUGUCAGAGUUAGGGACAUGUCCUGACCAAGACUGGGUUUGGGUUCUUUUGUUAGAAUGAUUUGUUGAAUUACUAUGAACUUGGGUGAUGUUGGCAGGUAGUUUGUCCAGUUACCGAUUAUCGGUUAUAGACAUUAUUUAAAUAUCAUUAGGCUUAUUCUUAUUCUACCUUGUUAUAUGUUUAGAAUUCAUACGACAUUGAGGAUGUUGGGUUUACUUGUUAGGUGCAGGGGGUGGUCUCCGGUCCAUAUGGGACUUGAGAUGCCCAUCACGGCCAGGCCUUGGUUCGGGUCAUGACAUUUCCCUUACUUCCCAAUUAAAACCCCCGUCCAUACAACACCUUUAGGGCUUUAUUUUGAUCCCUUAUCAAAUCAAAAUAUAUUCUCUCUUUUCUAAAAUUCUCUCAAGAAAGAGCAUUAAGGUUUUCAAGAGGUUGGUAAAUUAGAGCUUCCAAGGGCAAAAUCUCUCCAUAAUACUUGAUAUUUCAAGCAUGUAACUCUACCCUCAAAAAGUGUUUUUACUUAAAGCAUGGUAUUAUAUGAUUGUUUAUGAAGAUUUGAACAUGGGCUUUUAUAUGGGUUGAGAAUUUUAGGGUGAGUGUUUCUUAAACUAUUUUUCCAUGAUUUAUUAUGCAUUGUUCAUGCUUUAUAUAUGGUUUUAAACUUAUGGGGUGCUUGGUCAUGGUGAAUAAACUAAGGGAUUGUGAUUUCCCCAAAUUUUAUGAAUAUUGACAAUUGAAUUGGUGACAACCCUAACCCAAUUUUGCGAAAAUGGUUUUGAGUUUGAGUAUAAUUACAUUGAACUAAUUUCAGAACAAUAGCAUUAAAUAAAGAGUUUAUUGAAACAUAAUGGUUUGAUUUAAUGAACAAAGGGAGGUUGUUUCCCCCACCUUGUAUUAAUAAAUAAAGGGAGUUGUUUUCCCAAGUUAAUGGUUGUAACACCCCGCACUUUCGGACGAGAAUUUGAACCGUCAUUCCUACGUGUGUAAACUCUAAUCCUAUGAUUUGAGUAUGAAUAUAUGUAUCAUUACCAUUCACCUUACCUAUAAAGUGUUUUUGAUGUGAAUCAUAGUCAUAGGAAGCACUUAGAGCAAAGUCGAGUUGAGAACGCUUUCAUCGAUUGAGUUUUAGUAUUUGAUUAUACAAGGGUCAAAUUUAAACAAGUUUACCUCCUAGAAUAUAACUAUUAAGGUUUCCUUCUAUAUAUUAAAUGAAUGUUAUUUUAGUCUUCUUUCCAAUACAACUGGUUUCACCUUAAUUCGAUAUCGGAGUAGAAAGUUAUGCUCAUUUUACUCCAGAGUAUCCGUCUGUCAACAAGUAGACGACUUGAGAUGAUAAGUUGUCAACCAAGUAACGAGCUAUCAACCUCAUCGUCAGCCUUAACCAGAUUCAACUACAAGGUAACGACUUGAGGUGAUAAGCCAUCAACCAAGUGAUGUUCUACCAAGAUCGUCGUCAACCAUAACCACAAAAGGGAAAAACCCGUUUAAACUUGAUGACUUGGGUGAUAGGACGUCACCAAGUUGAUGGCUUGUCAACCUAGUUUUCAGUUAAGGGAAAAUUACUGCAUUUUCUUUAGAUUCUUUAGGGUAUUUUGUUAUUUUCUUCACCUCAAAUCCUAGUUCCCAUGACUUAAAAACAUAAGGAGGCAUUAUUUUCCCCCAUCCUCAAUUACUUAACACGUUUUUCCUCCUCCCAUCAUCAGGAAUAUCAAGAACAUCAAGAUUAGGGUUCCUCACCCAAAAUUCAAGCCUUCCUUCGCAAGAACAAGAAAUUCAAGCUUUUUUCCUCAAGAAUUCAAGGAUUCAAGUUUCGAUUUCAAAUUUUUUCAAGAAUUCGUUCAAUUAAGGUAUGUGGGGCAUUCAUUAAUGGGUUAUUUCCACCCAUUGAGUCCCAAAAAUUCUCUUCUUGGUUUGAGUAUGAAUUUUACUCUUUACUAUGAUCUAACUCAGUGAAAAUCAUGAACUUUUUUCCAUGUUUCAUUAUGAAUCUUACAUUCAUGCCAUGCUAUUAGUUUUUCCAUGUGAUUUAAAUUCCAAACUCAUAGGUCAUGUUUGGUCAAUACCAUGUCAAGUAGUCAAAUUCAUGUAUCUAGUCAUGUAAACAUGAUAUCCUCUCAAUUUUAACUUAUCCCCAUGUUGUAAUUCAUGAAAUUAUCAGUUAUUUACAUUUAUUAUGUUUUGGGUCUCCUAAAUCAUGACUUCAUACCAAUGUUUUAGAUAAUGUUAUCAUAUUUAAAGUAUUAUUCAGUAUUGGCGUGUUAUGAACACCCGAUACCUAUGUGUUUUUACAUAUUUUUAUUUUCAAGUAACAAGUCAGUUAGAAUCAAGAUUUUAUCCCCAUACUCAAAUUAUCAUUUUUAUAACGAACCCACCAGUAUUAUUUCAUGUUAAAUACCUCAUUUUACAAUUUCAUGGUUACUUCAGAUUAUGCAUGCACUGUCAGUUUUCAGAACACCAUGUUUGAGUAUAUCAGUCUUUAGUGCAUGCACCAUUUCAUGAUUUCAGUGUUAUUUUAGCUGGGAGUAGUAUUUAACACUGAGCAAACCCAGGGAUAGGGGCUCACCUACCAGUAGCAGGUCUAACUUUAGUAGCAAUCCCUGAGUUCAAGAUCUACAUAGCCAAUGUAGGUUUAAAAGUCGUUCUUUCAGUUAAGGGUUGACAUAUAUCUCAUAGGAGCACCUGCCAGUAGAGGGUGACUCCUUAGUCCUGUCGGACAUUAUUUCAGUGGAUCCACACAGCCAGUAUUAGCACCUGUAGAAAGGUACUGACACCCUUCUAACAGGGGUUACAGGUUGGAUCCCAAUUAGCUCAGAUUGAGGCAUGUGGGUUACAUGAUAGCUCCCACAAUUUCAAUCCAAUUAAUCAGACUCACUACAAUUUAGUUUUACAUGAUCAGUAUUCAUAUAUCAGUUAUUCAGUAAAUAGAUAUUAGUUAUUCAGUAUUCAAAUAUUAGUUAUUUAAUAAACUAAUAUCAGUUAUUCAGUAUACAGAUCUUAGUUAUUCAGUAUACAGACCUCAGCUACCCAGUUACAUAGAUAUCCAAUUACUUAGUCAUACAAAUACUAGUUAUUCAGUUAUUCAGACCAGCUCAGUGCAUGUUAUAUUUAGUUUUCCUAUAUGUUCAUGUAUCCAUGCUCAGUGUUAUUGUAUAUUCAGAUCCUCGAGUUAGGUCAGUUUAUAUUUCAGUUUUGAUGUGCAUGAUUUUAUGUUAGUUUCCAUCACAUAGUUUCAGACCCAGUAUUCAUACAAGAUCCUCAGUUCAAUCGUAUAGCAUGUUCAAUUUUACAUAAGAUUUACAUAUAGUAUUCAUGUUUUACCAUUUCCUAGCUUCAGUCUUACUUAUUCUACAAAAACAAUGAUUGAAGAAACUAAGCGUAGUGAUUCACCAGUUUAUCAGAUUAUGUUUGUUACUCAUGUAUUAAGAUACCUAAGCUUUCAGUUGAUUUGAGUAUCUUGGUGAGUCUACUUGAACUUAGCAUGCAUAUUUUAUGAUUAUGUAUCUAUUCGGUUUUACUUAUUGCAUUCACCCCCACUUACUUAGUAAAUUUCAAAAGUACCGAUCCACAAAUAUGUCUAUGUGCCACAUUGUCUUAAAAUGUAGGUACCAAUUAUAGCUCACACAUCAUAAUCAGACAAUUUGCAGCUUCCAGCCAGCCGGUGAUUAGUUCUCUUAUUUUGGGGACUCCAGUCAGUAGUAGUUCAUGUACUAUCUUGCUAUUAUUCAUAUGUAUUAAUUAGUGGUAGUUGGAGUCAUUCCCAACUAUCUAUAAUCAAUAUAGUAGAGGCUUCAUAGAUAGUCAGUCAGAGUCGUUACAUGUAAUUCAAGUUCUUUCUUCAGAUUUAUCAUGUUGUAAACUUUAUCAAUAUUACAUUUAUUCAAACUUUCUAAUGAUCAUGUUUUCUCUCAGUAGAUUUAGUUUUUAUAUAAUUUAAAUCAGUUGCUCAAGCAAUAUGCUAGUUCAUGAGUUAGCUUGGGAUCACUUGUGGUUCCAGGCAUCAUGUUACGACAAGGGGGUAGUCUCGGGUCAUGACAAACUUGGUAUCAGAGCACAGAGUUUAAGUUUCCAAGAGUGUCUAUGAAACUGUGUCUAGUAGAUUCUUACGAAAUAGUACAAAGACGUCUGUACUUUUUUUUGAGAGGCUAUAGGGCAUUUAAGAAAUAUUUCCCUUCUUUUAUAUCUCAGAUCAUGUUGUAGAGACGUUCUUUAAGAAACUUAUACAAAUUCUCCUCUAUGUCCAUUUAUGUCAACUCUACCUUACUUUUAAGGAAACAGAAAUAGUGAAGCUUAAAUUCCUAUCCAUAGAGUUUUCUCAGACAGUCCCCGCAGACAGCUAUGGGAUUACAGGUUGACUCAAAAAGUAUCCCGCUAGUGCUUUUACGUUCCAAAAUAUAAAGGAUUUCAUUCAUGAUCAUGAAAAAUUAUGUAUUGAUCCAAAGUUAGAUGUGCCCUCAGAUCCCUUCUUAGAAUCCUAUGACAGCAUAUGACCAAGGGUUAGAAGCAUGAACCCAGAAGUUUAGCAGCAUUAAACUGGGAUAGUGUUUAUCUGGAUUUAGUAUAUUAUGUAUACAUGGAGCUAGUUGUAUGAAAGGUGAGCUAGUAGGGUUGAAACAGUGCAUACAAGAAUUUAAGUUUGUUGAUUCAAAAUUCAAUAUGAUGGUGUGGUUAUGAUCUAGAGGUGUACCCAAGGUGAUAUAGGAUUGUAUUAUUUUAUUUUAAUGUGUGUGUAUGUUUAGAUAGUACCCUUGAAUUGCUAAGUGCAAAUAAGGCUAGUGGUGUACUAUACGAUGUUCUUACCAGCUAAGUUAUGGGCUAUAGAAAGAUAAGAGUUAUCUCAGAAGGAAGUAUUAGCAGUGAGUUUCACAAUUUCAGGUGUAGACUUUUAGGGUGAGUUUAUUAUUUAUGUGCAUUGUUAUAUCUCGGACCCUAGAAUAAAAUGGAUACAGUUCAGAUCAGAGUUUAUAAAAAGGGGUCCACAAACUUAGAAUAAUGGCUUUAAUCAAAGGGGGAGAUGAUAGAACAAGGAACUAAGUCAGGCUUUCAGAUUCUAGUAGUGAUGCUAGAGAGUUGUAUAACAACACUAGGGGAGGAAGAUACCUAACCUACUCUUAUCUCAGUUCAAAGUUUUGUACUUCAGUCAUCAUGACAUCUACUCAUGCAUUACAAGUCCUCCCUAUGAUCAUAGUUCAUGUUCAUGUACGUAUAUAGAAUCAUGUGUGCUCCCAGUUCCUAGUAUAAGAAGUUCCAAUUUGCUCAGCAUUAUGAAUCAUAUUCCAUCAAAUCAUGAACUCCAAACUCAAGUCAUGCAGCUCAUGACUCAGGUACUCAUGCUUUAUAGAAUCUUCAGUUCCAAGUACUGAUGGUACACUCUUAAUGACUAGUGAAAUUCAAAUUUAUGGCAUGCAUGCCUUUAGUUUAGAUCUCUUUAAUGAAUCCAUGUCUUUGAUACUCUAUUCCUCAAGUAUAAUAUUUUUUCAUGCUUAAUGUCAUCAUGUUCUAACCUUUUAGUGACCUUUCCUUAUAAAUAAUAGUGGUGAUGAGUAAUCACUGAGAUGGAGAGAGUAAAUAUUCAUUAUUAAUGAAAAGAUUAUUGUAUGCUCAUUGUAUCUAAGGUUGUAAGUGUAAAGGAAAAGUAUAGUUGAGGGAGUAUCUGAGAAGUGUGGCUAAGCUUGAAAGUUAGAAGUUGCCUUGCCUAAGGCAUAUUAAUUCUAUCCUAGCUUAUAUCUCAUAGGCCUAUGUUCCAUGUUAUAAAAUUAUAUCCAUAUAGCCAUAUUAAUAUUCCAUGUUUGAGAAAUAGUUCUCACCUAUUCCCUGUGGGUUAAAUCCUAACCUAGUUGGAUUACUACAUUUGACUUCGACCGUAUUAUACUUCUAAGGUUUUGUACAACAUCAGAUAUGAACGUUUGCUACAUCAGUUUCUUGGAUCAGUUAGCAGAUAUCUUCAUCAAGAGCCUCCUUUUUCUUCCGUUUCAUAUCCUUUGUUCCAAGCUUGUAGUUGCACAGCCACAGCUCAGCUUGCGGGGUCAUGUUAGGACACCAUAAUAGCCACUUUUAUGUAUUUACAUUUGAUCAGAAGUGUAUAGUUUAUCUCUUUAUAUUUGACUAGAAUUGUAUAGUUUAUCUCUUAUAGAGUUUUUAUUCAACUACACUUUGUAUAGCAUCCCAUAUAUAUUGAGGAAAAACUCAUCUGUCAAUAAUAAUCGAGUCUUCUAUCUUUAUAAAACCUUUUUAGUUAUUGUCAACUCUUUAUAUCUCAUAAAUGAAAAUAUAAUGUGUUAGAGUCAACUCUUGCCCAUGAAGCAUAAUUUAUUGUUUGAAAGUCCUUGAGUGCCUCUAAGGUAGGAGUUAUAUAACAUCUCAUAAAUCAAAACACAAUGUGAUAGUGCCAACUCUUGCCCAUGGGGUAUAACUUGUUGUUUGAAAGUCCUUGGGCUAAGUAUUGCCUCUAAGGCAAGAGUUAUAGACCAUCUCAUAAAUCAAAAUACAAUGUCGUAGUGUCAAGUCUUGUCCAUGCAGCGUAACUUAUUGUUUGAAAGUCUUUGGGCUUAGUUUUUUCACUAAGGCAAGAGUUAUAGAGUAUCUAAUGAGUCAAAACACAAUGUGGUAGUGUCAACUCUUGCCCAUGGUAUGUAACUUAUUGUUUGAAAGUCCUUGGACUAAGUCUUUCUUCUAAGGAAAGAGUUAGAUAACAUCUCAUAAAUCAAGAGAUAAUGUGGCAGUGUCAACUCUUAUCUUGAAUAACACUUGUUGUUUGGAAGGAAUCAAAGAAAAAAUAAUAAAAGUUGAGGAAAAAAGGAAAAAAUAAAGAAAAACAUUAAAAUAAAAAAGAAAGAAAUCAAAAAAAUUUAAAAAGUGAAAAGAAAAAAAAGUAGAAAACGUAGAAGUUCAGAGGAUAAAAGAAAAAAAUAAAGGUUAAAAAAGGAAGAAAAAAAGACAAAACAUAAAAGAAAAGAAAAUAAAGGCAAAGAAAAAAUUAAAAAGGAAAAGAAAAGAGAAUGAAAAAGAAAAGUAAAAUAAAAAUAAAAAAGAGAAAAAAAAAUAGUAGUUGAGAGGAGAAAAGGAGGAAAAGGUUGAGAAAAACUUUCUUAAAAAAGAAAAAGAAAAAAUUAAAGUUCAAUUAAAAAAGAGAAAAAAACAAAGCUGAUAGAUAAAUAAGCAGGGAGAAUUGUUUUAAAAUAUUUGAGGUAUAGAGGGACACAUAGGUAUUUUUUAUAUACAUUAAGAAAAAUAGUUUUAUAGUACUGUGAGUUAUUUCUAUAAUUUACCCAUGCUAAUUAUCCUUGCUUAUUUUUAUUUUUUUUGUUAACAACCUUGCUUAUUUAUUAGCCCAUCAACGAAAUCUACGCCCAAAUAAAUACAACAAAUCAUGCCCAGUAUAGUCUCACAUAGUAGGGUCUGGAAGGGUAGAGUGUAUGCACACCAUACACUACCUCAGGUGAAGUAGAGAGGCUGUUUUUUAUAGACCUCCGACUUAGGACCGAUAAUAGUAUAACAAACACAAAAACAAAAAUGCAUAUAAACUAGUACAGUAUGCAAAAUAAACUAACACCACUAGUCACAAGAUAAUACUACAGCUACAAGAUAAUACUAAAAACUAUCUGUCUGAAAUCAUAGACAUCACUUAACACCACGAACAAGAAACUUCAGUCAAACAUAAAGAACGCUCCCCAACUGUUACCGACGCACUCCCACCCCCAACCCUCUACCCUAAUUUGCGUCCUCCAACCUUUCUAUCAAGGAUUAUGUCCUCCGUAAGUUGUAACUGCUCUAGGUCCUGACCUCCGAGCUACGAAAGGUAAUAAGGUGUUUCUUCCUCUUUGAAAAGCUCAAAUUCGCCACCAACAAUCUAAAAGCCCUAGCAAAAUCUAAAAGAAAAGCUUCUUCUUCAUUUCAAUCCCCGAAACCAAAACUUUCAUGCAUAUCAUCAUACCCUCUCGAUAAAGACCCAAUAUACCCAUUGAAAUCUCCUCCAACGAGAAGCAUCUCCAUGCUCGGAAUGCCCUUGACCACCUUAUCCAAAGCCUCCAAAAAUUUCUUCUUCCCCUCCUCGUCCAAACCUGCUUUCGGAGUGUAGGCACUGAUAACGAUCAAAGAAGACCCCCCCAAUGAUCAAUCUAAUCGACAUCAACCAAUCAUUAACCUGCUUAACCUCCACCCCCUGCCCCCAAAUCUCUUUAUCUACUAAGAUACCUACCCCAUACUUAUGCCUCUUGCUACCCUAGUACCACAACUUAUACCCGUCUAUAUCCCUUUCCUUAGAGUCUACCCACUUAAUUUCCUGGACACAAGCUAUACUAAUACUCCUCUUCCUAAGAAUCUUCAUGAGCUUUAUGGACUUACCUUGAAGAUUCUCUAUGUUCCAAGACCCAAUCCUCAACUUGAAAUCUCUCUUAUCCCACCUAGCCUUACUACCCCUCGCCCCUAACCCCAAAUUUAACCCUAGACCCGACCCUAAACCAUCACCUGACCAAGACCUCAGCCCCAACCCCGACCCUGACCUAUGACAUGACCCUAGUCCACCAUCUACCACCACAGCUACUACUUAAUAAGAUAUGUAAGAAGAAAAAGAAUAAAAGGAGAAGAAAAACACAACAAAUAAAAGUCAGAUAGGUACUACUAAAAGUGACACAAUGAUAAUAAUGGACAAAAUUAGUAAAGAAGCGAGAAACUAUGAGCAUUGUCCUCUAAGGAACAAACAGAAAUAAGUAAAAAAGUUUUUAUAAUCACAAUCAAUAACAAUCACAGGCACUAUACUACCCACAGAUGCUAAUUAAUACCUCCUACUAAGUUACAGAGCAACAAGAUAGUCAACAAAAAAAUCAAGGUAGAAAAAGGAACAGGACAUAUCUGUCACCCCUAAUCAGAAAGCCUAGACUAAAAAAAAACUAAAAGAAAAUGAACAACAAAAGAAUGAAAUGAGUGCACCUGAUUUUGGGAAAUGACACAAUGUUGGAUGCUUUAUUGAUCGUUUCGUCAGAUUUUGGCAAGUUGGUGCAGAAAUUGGUCGUUGGAAUUUAUUGCCGUCGUCUUUACCUACUGUUGGUACCUUCCUUGUAAUUGCUCAACCUGAAAAUUGUAUUGGUCGCCGCAAAUAUUAUUGUUCGCCGGAAAAUACUACGCACCAUACUUGUAUUUCUUAAAAAAGGUUAUAAAGGAAAGAAAGAGUGCAGAACUAAUCGUCAGGGAAGUCUCCGAACGGCAUGCUUCACCGGUCAGAUCCGUCCUUACCAAUCACUUACAGUCACGGUAAAUAGCCACGAGAUAAACCCAGCAAUAACGAACUUGUAACUCUGGUGGAAAGGAGUGUGAUGAGUUUGCCAGUGAUUUUUGGUUCUCAAUGUGUUUGCUGAAGAACGUCGUGUUCGUCGGAGAGAAAUAGUACCAACCGACCAGAUUACCUAUUCUGAUGAUGUUGUUUAGUCAUCGAAGAGAAAGAGAAAGAGUACCGGCCGAUAAUGAGAAAGUACCGACUAGUAAAGAGAAAAGAAGGGGGGAUUACCCACCGGAGCAUGUCACCGCCGUUUCAUUUCUUGACCGAAGAGAGUAUUAUUCCUUCUGAAGUUUAAUCAUAAUAAUUUCAAAAUGAUUGAUAAACUUUAAUCAUAUUAAAAGAUUCUCUUGUAUCAUUUUAUCCUUGAUGAUAUGUUAUUAAUAUAACUAAAGAUAUAUUAUUACAUGUUAAACCCCUCUAAUCCAAAAUUUACACAAGUGGUGUCUUCCAAGCGACCUUCAGCUUGCACAACUAAAAUGUGAGGUUCUUACCGAAAAUAAGGUUGGUGGCAUUUAUUUUAGUAGGUAGAAAAAAAUUGCAGAUGUGUCUUAUUGCCAUUUGUUCUUAUCAGGAUUGUUAGUAAAUAAGUGUAUGUAUUGGUUGAUAGGACGUUUUUGUGGUACCGUCUUUCGUCCUGAAAUUAUUUCAUUUGACUUUGAAAAUGAAACACUACUAAAACUAUAUCUCCCCUAUUAUCUUUUCAAAGUAUUUAUGGCUAGGCUUUGAUGGAUUUGAAAGGGAUGCUUUGCUUGCCAGAUAUAAGGUGUUUUCGCAAAAUUUUAAUUAUAGACCCGUGGAUAUUGAAGGAUAAAAUAAUUAGUUACACCUAGGUAAAGGAUUAUAGCAUCAAUUUGGUUAACUUUGGAUCUGAGAAGAUCACAUCUUACUUCAAGACAUGAAAUGAAGGAAUAAUAUUCACACAUUUGGAUACAACCGUGGUCUAUGAUUUAAAAAGAAAAUGUUUCAGAGGUGUGAAAUGUCUUAAGUUUAAUCAUUAUUAAGCAUAUAGGUUCUUCCGUCUUAAGAGUUUAUUCCUUUUAUGUUACACAGAGGCGAAUCUAGAAUUUAAAGGUUGUGGUUCCUAACUUUUAAUUUUUACCACUAGAUCAAUAACACACUUUGUUUGUGGGUUCCCAACUUAUAAUUCUUAUAUAUUUACUAGUUUUUUCAAUAUAAAUUCAAGAACCGUAUGAAAGUUAUGAGUUCCUGAAAACUCGCACGUAAAGCUGUGCAUCCGCCCCUGAUUUACAGGAUAAAGGAUUCACUAUAGGAAAAAUUACAUGUUUGAGUACUUUUAUAAAUUAUUAAUUUCUUUUAAAUAUAUUUUUUAUUCAUUAUCUAGAUAUAUCAUAUUUGAAAAAUAGUUAUAAUCUAUAGCAAUUGUACUAUAAAAUAACUAAAAGUGAAUUAUGUAUAUAAUAUAGAUUUAUUAGAAGUGUAUUAAAAUGUAUUAUACUUGUUUUGUUUAAAAAAAUGCAUUAUGUACUAAAAAUAAAUUAUGUAUGCAAUACACAUGUAUUACACUAUGCACUAAAAAUAAUUUAUGCAUGCAAUAUAGAGUCUAUUUGGAUAGGAUUAAAAGAAAGUUUUUAGCUUAAAUGUUUAUAAGUUGAAAAUAAGUGUUUUUAAUUAAGCAGAUAAAUGUUAGAAUAGAAGUGUUUAAACUGAGAAAAAAAUGUUGAUGUAUUUGGUAAACAAGUAUUAUUAGAUACUUCUUUAUUGUCAAAAUGACUAAAAUAUUCUUAAAACUGUCAUCACCAUAAAUAAGUUAAAUUAUAUCACUUUUAAUUCAAAAAUAAUUUAUGUUUAAAUGCGCUUUCAGCAUAAAUGAUGAUUAUGUGAGGUGAAUUUACAAACAUAAGAUACCUUUUUAUUUUUAAAUGUUAAAAAACAAAAAAAUUAUGAUAUACAAAGUAAAAAUGUAAUAUUAUAAUACAUCAAAGUUAGAAAACAUAUCAACAAUAUUGCAACAGUUUAAGUGUUAUUUUUUAAAAAAAAAAAAGUAUUCAAAAAAUUUCAAUAUUUCAAGUUCGUACAUGGCAGGCUUACAAUGGGCUUGGAAUUAAGGAAAAAUAUAAAGGAUAAAAAGGUAAAUAUCUUAAUUAAAUUUAAAAAAAAAUUAAGCUAAAAAGGAAAAAGUAGGGGGUAUGUAGCUUCUAACUUUUUGCUUUUCUAAAUCAAUUUUUAGCUUUAUUUAAGCAUUUUUUUAUUUUACCAAACAUCGAAAAAGCUAAAAAAAAAAAAAAAGAGAUGAAAAACUAAUUUGACCAGUUUUUAAUCUUAUUCAAACAAGCUCAUAGAUGUACUAUAAAUGUCUUUAGCGUAUUAUGCUUGUUUUGAUAAAUAUUUCAUAUUAUAUAUUAAAAAUAAAUUAUACAUGUAUUAAAAUUACAUAACUAUAAAUGAUAAAUAUUUUCUAAAUAUGAUAUAUUUAGAUAACUUUCCCAUCAUAACAAUGUUACGACAUACUACUCUCAUCUCUUAUUACAUAUGUUGCAUCCUUGGCGAGCACUGUGGGCACUUAUUUUUAGUUUAUUGGGUCCGAGUUUAUCAGAUUAAUAUUGUUGGAUUUUAGUUCCAGGGUAAUUUCCCUAUUCAAGGUUCUAUUUCUGUGUGUUUAUUGUUUUAUUUUCUUGAUGCAUGUUAGUUAUGUUCUUUAAUCAGCUAUAUUUUUUGAUAAUGAGUUACUGUGAUUGUGAUCCCAUUAUUAUUUCAACAUUUCAAAUUUUGGCAUUGUGUUGAUUUCUUCGAUUUUGGUGCGUUUAUUUUCUCUGUGAUGUAGCGUGAAAAAGAUUGAAGAAGGUUUGUGAGUUUUGUUAUUUUCUGGGUAAAAUAUUUGUGUUUAUCAAAAUGAACUUCGACACAAAGUUCAAGAACAAGUUCAAGAACUACAAAGAAGUUUCAACAACUUCAAACGCAAGUGUAAACGAACUAUCAAAAUAAAAUUUCUACUAUUUUCUAGCAAAUCAAACUCAAAAGAAAGUAAGAUGAAGACAGAAAUGAUAGAAUCAAGUCUACCGAAUAGAAUUAAGUCUACCGAAUUCACGAUGUGUUCUUAAGGAAUUUAUUCUCCUCAAGUAACUGAAGUUAAUGAAAUCUUUUCUUCUAGGAUAAAAUAACCCACUCACUACAAGAAAAGUGCUUAUUACCUAGGGAUUUUCAUAGGGAUAAUGUGGUAAAAUUUCCAAGUAAUUUGAUUACCUACGGAUUUUCUUACCAAUUAGAAUCCAAAGGAAAUACCUUUGUAGGUAAUUAUUACCUGCAGAUUUAUAAAAUUCCUAGGUAAUUUAGUUGCGAAAAUAAAUCCGUAGGUACGUUAUUUGCGAUUAACUAUCAAAAUUUUGCAUGAAUUUUUUGGUAAAAUUUCAUAAAAAGAAUUUUACCUGCGGAUUUUCACGAAAAAAUUCAUAAAUUAUUCUUCACGAAGAUUCCCAAGUAAAUUCCUAGGGCAGGUACGUUAUUUGCAGAUUUAUUUGCGAUUAUCUAUCAAAAUUUUACAUUAAUUACUUGGUAAAAUUUCAUAAAAAAGAAUUUUACCUGCGGAUUUCUACAAAAAAAAUUCACAAAUUAUUCUCCACAAACUAUUUCGCAAGAAAAUUCGUGUAAAAUACCCCAAGUAAAUCCACAAGAACAAAUUUUUUCAAAAAAAUUGUCAUGAAUAUUUAGUAUGCACAUCCCAAUGAAAAUUCUCAAAUAAUAAUUCAUGCAUAAAUUACUAAAAACAUUUCACAAUUAAUCAAAAAUAUAUUCAAAACCUUCAAUAAUUCUCAAAAACAUCAUUCAUACAAGUCUAAUAAUGUAAAUCAUUACAACUAACAAAAAAACAUAAUUCAAAACAUCCACAUCAAUAAUGUAUGAUUCUUAAAUGGUCCAAAAUAAAAUAUUUCAAACUUGAAUCCUCAAUAAAACUACCAACCAUCAAGGUCAGAAUCACUUUCAUUCACGUCUUCAGAGUCAUCAUCACUUUCAUCCUCUUGGUUGUCUUCUUGGAAUGGACGUUCAUCAUUUAACAAAUCCUUUAACUUCCAACAGUCGAGCAAGACCUCUCCACCACAAGAGACCGCUUGUACUAAAUGACAAGAUUAGAGUUGAAAUAGGAAAAAGACAAAUACAAAAAGAGUAUUAACAACAAUGUAGUAAAAUAACAGAAAGAAUUAUUUCAAUAAAAAUCUUGUUAUUCUCUUACAUUAAUUGAACAUGAAAUUGAAAAGUGAGGUUGAUAUUAUAAUUUUAUGUUACUAUACUUAACCAUUUUCAAAUAACUACACUUAACCAUUUUCAAGUCACUACUCCACACGUCAAGUCACUACACAACCGUUUUUCAAAUAACUAAUUCACAUUGUAAGUCACUACACUUGAAACAUUUUCAAAUCACUAGUACACAUUUCAAAUCACUACACUUAACUAUUUUCAAUUAACUAAUUCACAUUUCAAGUCACCAUACUUAAUCGUUUCCAAGUAACUAUACUUUAUUAUUUUCAAGUUAUUAGUACACAUUUCAAGUGACUACACUUAAUCAUUUUCAAGUCACAAGUUCACAAUUUCAAGUAACUACACUUAACCAUUUUCAAGUCACAAGUUUGCAAUUUCAAAUAACUACACUUAAUGAUUUUCAAGUCACUACACUUAAUAAUUUUCAAAUAGCUAAUUAAUUGACAUUUCAAGUCAUUAUACUUGACAAUUUUCAAGUGACUACACUUAACAAUUUUCAAUUCACUAGCACACAUUUCAAGUCGCUACACUUAACCAUUUUCAAAUAACUAAUUCACAUUACAAAGCACUACACUUAAUCAUUUUCAAGUCACUAGUACAUAUUUCAAAUCACUACACUUAACCAUUUUCAAAUAAUUAAUUCACAUUUCAAGUCGCUAUACUUAACCAUUUUCAAGUAACUACUUCACCUUUCAAAUAACUAUACUUAACCAUUUUCAAGUCACUACACUUGAUCAUUCAUUUCAAGUUACUAUACUUAACCACUUUCAAGUAACUACAUUUAACCAUUUUCAAGACACUAUAACUAACCAUUUUCAAGUAACUACACUUAACUAUUUUCAAGUCACUACACUUAAAUCAUUUUAAAGUCACUAGCAUACACUUCAAGUCACUGCACUUAAUUAUUUUUAAGUCACUAGUACACAUUUCAAAACUCUACACAUUUCAAGUAACUAUACUUUAUUAUUUUCAAGUUAUUAGUACACAUUUCAAUUGACUACACUUAACCAUUUUCAAGUCACAAGUUCACAAUUUCAAAUAACUACACUUAAUCAUUUUCAAGUCACAAGUUCGUAAUUUCAAGUAACUAUACUUAAUUAUUUUCAAGUCACUAGUACACAUUUCAAGUCACUAUACUCAAGCCAUUUUCAAAAAGCUAAUUGACAUUUCAAGUCACUAUACUUAAACAUUUUCAAGUCACUACACUUAACCAUUUUCAACUCACUAGUGCACAUUUCAAGUAACUACACUUGACUAUUUUCAAGUAACUAAUUCACACUUCAAGCCGCUAAACUUAACCAUUUUCAAGUCACUAGUACACAUUUUCAAUCACUAUGCUUAAUCAUUUUCAAAUCACUUAAUCCACUUCUUAAGUGACAACAUUUGAUCAUUUUGAAGUCACUAGUACAUAUUUCAAAGUACUACACUUGAUCAUUAUAUACAGUUUUAAUUUAAGAUCACAAGAUUUCAAAAUAUUCUUCACUAAACUUUGUUUCAAGUUAAACCAGACAAACAAAUUGAAAUAGAGUACUUAAUAUAACUUGACAGUAAUGAACAGUAAUGCACUUCAUAGUCCUACCAGUCAACCACAUUACUAACUUAAAUACAAAUUAACUUGAUAGUAAUGAACAAUAAAGCACUUGUUAGUCCUAUCAGUCAACCGCAUUACUAGCUUAAAUACAAAUUAACUUGACAGUAAUGAACAAUAAUGCAUUUGUUAGUCCUAUUAGUCAACCACAUUAUUAACUUAAAUACAAAUUUUUGAAUAUGAAGGUCGUGGGUUCAUCCCAUGAAAACAACCUCUAACAUAAAUGCAAGGUAAAUCUGCAUAUAAUAAACUCAUAUGGUCCGAGAGAUUUGACAAAAACACCUACUUAAUAUAUUAAAAUUCAGAAUAUAUAUAUAUAUAUAUAUAUAUAUACACACACACACACACACAUAUAUAUAUAUAAAUAGGGGUGGGCGUUCAAUCGGUUCGGUCUAAUUGUUAAUAUCGGUUCGAUUUACCGAUUUUCAAAUUGACAAAAAUGACAUCCAUAACCAAACCAAAAUAAAUUUGGUUUGGUUCGGUUUUUAUAAAUUCGGUUCGGUUAUUUCGGAUUAUUAUUUCGGUUUGAAAUAUUAAAGUAGUUAGCCUCUCUUUUUCAAUUUUAAAACCUCAUUCAUCUUCAAAUAAGGUUCGAGAUCAGCUCUUAUCAUGCAAACAAGAAAAACCAUCGACCAUAAUUUCAAGACAACACAGACUACAAACUACUAAGUACUAACAAUACCAUAUACUAAAGAGAUACUAAUAUAUAAGUAAUCAGCAGACCCUAGUCAUCUUAUUGCUCGAUUAGAAUAAAAUGCAAAAUGAAAUCACAAUAUAAUCAUCUAUUUUUAGUUACAUCCACAGACCACAGGAUAACUAAUGAUAAAACAAUCUGUUAGUCACUACCACCAUCCACCAAUACACAAAACAGCUGGUCUACUCGAAGCAAUAUUUAGACGACAUCGCCAUUCAUCAGGCAGCAACAUAAUUUAGAUCCAAAAAAAUGCUCAAAAGAGACAAAAUGUAUUAGGUUCCAAUACAUGAAUUACUAGAGAAACAAUCAAGAUGUGAAGUUCAAUUGUCCUUCAAUUAGAAUCCACAAGUUUCUUCCCCAGUUAAAGCUUUUGGUUCAACCAACAUUAGACGAGCACCAACUAGAAAGCAACGUAGUGCUGCUCAGCUGCUCAAAUAGCAGUUCAACUAAACUAGUCAUUCAGAACACUAGGAAGUACUUGUGUUGCUCGAAUAGCAAUUCAACUAAACUACACAUUCACAACACUUGGAAAUAGCUGUCAACAGUCAACUAGAUCUUAAUGAAACUUUGUUUCUACUUGAAAAAAUAAAUUCAAAAACAAUACCGGAUUAGACAUAUUUUGAAGGCUGACUAACUGAUGGAACAAAUAAAUGAAAACGUGGUCUGCCCACAGUGGUAGUCGAUCGCCGGUCGUCACUCAACAAACAAAGAACACGGUCAGUUCGCCUCAAACACAAUCGUCGGCAUCGCUCAACAAAUACGAAACACCAAUCGCAGCCUCGCGGGUCUUUAUUUGCAGAUCGCCGGUCUCAGUAUUUUUGUAAAGAAAUGGAGUAGAUUGCCGGUGCACGGUCGUCUAUCGUCAUUGUAAAGGAUAAGCCGAAAGCAGCGUGUAUCGGGGUGUGUGAAAUGUGAAUUGUAAAUUUGUAAUGGGAUUUGUGAUUUAGGGUUAACUAAUAUAAUAUAUCUAUUAAUAAUAUAUAUAUUAUAUAUAAUAAAUUAAUAAUAAUAAUAUCUAUAUAUAUAUAUAUAUUAUAUUAUUAUUUAUAUAAUUUUGAUUUUUGAUUUAACUGAAUUUCUUUUUAAGAAAAUCGAAAAUCGAAC